This is an RNA transcript of Zingiber officinale, 2552 nucleotides long. It is a transcript of the gene named peptidyl-prolyl cis-trans isomerase CYP57-like, with no coding region annotated. Lineage: Eukaryota; Viridiplantae; Streptophyta; Magnoliopsida; Zingiberales; Zingiberaceae. The transcript is spliced from 12 exons. The record is from RefSeq and is a predicted model, not a curated record.
AAUCAGGAAAAAGUCAUCUAUUACGUAACUACUAGGGCAAAUUUGGGGUAUUUCCCUUCUCGAAAUCCCGAGUUUCUGGUCGCGUCGGGGAGAGAGAGAGACGCGACGAUGUCGAACGUGUACGUGCUCGAGCCGCCGACGAAGGGGAAGGUGGUGGUGCAGACUACAGUUGGGCCGAUCGACAUCGAGCUGUGGCCGAAGGAGGUGCCCAAGGCCGUCCGCAACUUCGUCCAGCUCUGCCUUGAGGGCUACUUCGACGAUACCAUCUUCCACCGCAUCAUCAAGGGUUUCCUCGUCCAGGGCGGUGAUCCUACUGGCAGCGGAACCGAUUCGAAGAAGGAGCCAACGCACAAUAUUGCUUUUAAGGCAAGGUUGGACGAACAAGACUUGGAAUCCUCCCUUGAGGACGAAGAAACAACAAUGAUGGUAAGGCGAUUUAAGAAAUUAAUUAAAUAUAGAAAAACUAACCAUUCGCAGGGUAGAAAGAAAAGAACGAUCAGAUACUACCACUGCAACGAAGAAGAACAUGUUAAGGACAACUACUCUAAGCUAAGGAACAAGGAUCAGGACGAAGGAAAGAAGCCUGUCCAAACGAACAAGUACAAGACUUUAAAGGCGACGUGGAAGGAAACGUCGUCCGAAUCAGAAGUUGAGGCAUUCUCCGGUCUUGCGUUGAUGGCAAGUCAUCAAGACAAAUACGAAGAAAGCUCUUCCGAAAUGAGCAUCGAGAGUAGCAGUUCAGGAGGAGCCACGGACAAUGAGAUCGGUAAGUCAGGUGGGGAAAGUAUUUACGGUGGAGUGUUUGCUGAUGAGCUCCAUUCUAGACUUCGAUUUAAUCACAGAGGCUUGGUUGCAUGUGCAAAUGCUGGCUCUCCUCAUUCGAAUGGAAGCCAAUUCUUUAUGACAUUAGAUCGUUGCGACUGGCUAGAUCGGAAACACACAAUUUUUGGAAAGGUUACAGGAGAUUCCAUAUUUAACCUUCUAAGGUUGGGUGAAUUUGAAACUGACGAAGAUGAUCGACCGGUUUACCCCCCUCCAAAGAUUCUUUCUGUUGAGGUGCUAUGGAAUCCAUUUGAUGACAUUGUUCCAAGGCAACUAAAGGAGAAACCUCAAACUCAUGCCAAGGUUGCAGCUGAAGACCAGGAGCAAAAAAAGAAAGCAGUCAAGAAGCUUAACAUGCUCUCUUUUGGUGACGAAGUUGAAGAAGAUGAAUUGGAAGCUGCAAACAUAAAGGAUAAGAUCAAGAGUAUCCAUGAUGUGUUAGAUGAUCCUCGUUUCCUCAAAGAAGAAGCAAAACCUGAACCAUUGUACUGAAUAUCGAAGUACUGAUGUUUCUGGUGGCUGCAUCCAGUCUAAAGCUGAAAUGGAAAAGAAAAAUGAAGCUCGUUUAGCUGUCAGAGAUGCUCUAGUUUCCAACAAAGGUAACAACAUUAGAGAACCUCGGAUGGAUGAUUUCAGUGCUGAUGAUCAUAGUGAUAAUGACGACGAAUCCAACUUUGAUGCAAGAAUGCGAAUGCAAAUCUUGAGAAAACGCAAGGAGAUGGAUGAUGUUACCAAUCAUGACAAGAUACCUGCUGAUAAACCUAAGCGGAAACACCGGGAGGCAUCACCUUCCAGGCCAGUUGCUGAAGUUAAAAAUUCCAAGGUUGAGAAAUUGUCAAUGAAGAAAAUGGGCAUUGGAUCAGAAGCCAGAGCUGAUCUUAUGGACAAGGCAGAUGCAGACAUGGAGUUACUGAAUCAUGCUGAACAAGAGAGGCAAUUGCUGAAGCAGAAGAGGCGUCGAAAUCAGGGACGUGAAGGAGAUACUCUAGCCAAGCUGGAUAGAUUCAAAAAGUCUAUAUCUACAGCUACCAAGGUUUCUGCGCCGAGUAGCAAUGGUAAGGAGGCUACCGAGGAUGAUGAUUCUGGAUGGAUGGCAACACAGCUAAAGUUCCUUUCUGAGUCCUCUGAUAAGGAUAGCAUGACUAGAAAAGAUGAUCCAAAUGAAUAUGUUGUGCAUGAUCCUCUUCUGGAGAAGGGCAAAGAGAAAUUUAAUAGAAUGCAGGCGAAGCUCAAGCGACGGGAGCGGGAGUGGGCUGGCAAAUCUCUCACCUAAUUAUUUACAUGAUCAGGUCUACCAUUAUGGCACCUGACUUUUCAGAUUUCAAUCAUCCUUCAUGUUGACUAUGAAGAUGAUUUGCAGCGUCAAGCCUUAUUCAAGCUGUGAUGUUUCACCCAAAUUGCACACUAGGCUAUUGCUGUUCAACAAAUGCAGGAGUUGUUAGAUAUACUGUGGUUGUCUCCCAGAUAUCACCAACUUGCCAAACUGGCUGUUGAUUGUUGCCCAGUACCAUGACCAUCUAUUCCUUUUGCCAACUUCAUUCCAAGCAUAAAUCUUUAUUAUGUUUUCUAGAUACUGUAAAUAACUUUUAUUAAAAUCCAGGAGAGAUUUGUUGGUGUGCUUAACUAUGUGCCAAUCUACUGCUCGAUUUUUGGUGACAGUGGACAUUCAUAGAUAAGUUUACGUCCUUGACUGGUUACAAUGGAAUGAUUCUGUGUGCAACUUCGUUUCC